GGAUUGUGACUCAAUGGUAGAGCGCUUGCCUCUCACAUAUGAGGCACUGUGUUCGAUUCUCGGCACCA
This 68-nucleotide transfer RNA is filed under the name Marmota monax (woodchuck). RNAcentral's name for it is "tRNA.Glu". Lineage: Eukaryota; Metazoa; Chordata; Mammalia; Rodentia; Sciuridae. The record is from RNAcentral.